AAGAAAGUGGCAGAGCGGUUUUGUGGCUGGCUUGAACCCAGUUCAUGGGGGUUCAACUCCCUCCUUUCUCG
RNAcentral lists this transfer RNA (71 nucleotides) under Polydactylus plebeius (striped threadfin). Its description in RNAcentral is "tRNA-Ser(UCN)". It matches the Rfam family "tRNA". Rfam says of the family: Transfer RNA (tRNA) molecules are approximately 80 nucleotides in length. Their secondary structure includes four short double-helical elements and three loops (D, anti-codon, and T loops). The record is from RNAcentral. Lineage: Eukaryota; Metazoa; Chordata; Actinopteri; Polynemidae.